Molecule: transfer RNA, 87 nt
Filed under: Candidatus Omnitrophota bacterium
Lineage: Bacteria; Pseudomonadati; Candidatus Omnitrophota
Description: tRNA-Ser
Rfam family: tRNA
About the family: Transfer RNA (tRNA) molecules are approximately 80 nucleotides in length. Their secondary structure includes four short double-helical elements and three loops (D, anti-codon, and T loops).
Source: RNAcentral
GGAGAGGUGCCAGAGUGGUUGAAUGGAGCUGACUGCUAAUCAGUUGAUCUGGUAACGGAUCCCCGGGUUCGAAUCCCGGCCUCUCCG